Molecule: ribosomal RNA, 3084 nt
Filed under: Triticum aestivum (bread wheat)
Lineage: Eukaryota; Viridiplantae; Streptophyta; Magnoliopsida; Poales; Poaceae
Description: partial small subunit ribosomal RNA
Source: RNAcentral
AUGGCGAAGAAGGGCGAGAGAGCAGAGCAGGUGGCGGCGGUGCGCGCGGUGCUCGGCGAGGAGACGCCGGAGAUGGACAUCAUCCGCGCGCUCCACAUGGCCGGCGACGACCCCACCAAGACCAUCAACAUCCUCCUCGACCUCCACCACAACCUGCCGCCGCCGCCGUCGCCGUCGCCGUCGCCCCCGCCCCAGCCCCCGCCGGUCCAACCCACCAAACCCCCUAGCAAAUCGAUCCCGCCGCCCAAAACCCCUGCGCAGCCGAAGCCGCCGGCGGCGGCGACUGGGAAACCUAGGCCCAAGUCCAAACCCCCACCCACCGGCGGGGGCGAGCACUGGUGGCUGGUGGGGAGCGCCGAGAUGGCCGGCCUGUCCACCUGCAAGGGCAGGCGCAUCGCCGCCGGGGAACCGGUUACCUUCUCGUUCCCCAACUCCGCGACCGCAGCCGCCUCGGGCAAGGGCCGUCCUGGUCGCUUUGCCCUCGCUUCCUGCACCUCGGAGAUUAUGCGCUUCUCAACCCCGACCCACGGGGAGGUCGGCCGCAUCCCCAACGAGUGGGCUCGGUGUCUGCUACCCCUUCUCAAGGAGGGGAAGGUCAAAGUGGAGGCCCUGUGCAAAUCCGCUCCUGAGGUUCUUAGCAUCAUGGACACCGUCCUCUUGUCUGCUAGUAUAUACAUCAACAGCUCCAUGUUCCGUGAUCAAAAGCAGUCACUGCCCAAGGCAACGCGUGCUGCUACGGAGGACUCCACAUUCCAUCCACUCCCCGCACUUUUCAAAGUCAUCGGGAUUACCCCUUUUAUGAAGGCUGCAUUUACUCCAGAAGAUCUCUAUUCCAGAAAGCGACCAAUUGAAAGAAAGAGCAGUAACGGGGAGCCAGCCACAAAGUUGACAUCUGAGAAAGUGAAAUUAUCUUCCAGCGGAAAUGAAGAUGAUCAUGCUGAAGGAACUGUUUCAGAUUCAGAUUUGGAUGUUAUAAUUGGAAUCUCAGACAGUUCUGCACUGGAGGAGAGGGAUCCGCCUGAGGCUCUGCAGUGCGAUCUGCGCCCUUAUCAGAAGCAGGCCCUUCAUUGGAUGCUGCAGCUUGAGAAAGGCAGUUGCUCCCAGGAUGCAGCUACAACCCUUCACCCUUGUUGGGAGGCAUAUAAGCUUGAAGACAAGAGGGAAUUUGUUUUGUACUUGAAUGUAUUUUCAGGAGAUGCCACCACUGAAUUUCCUAGUACAUUACAGCUUGCUAGAGGAGGGAUUCUGGCAGAUGCGAUGGGACUAGGGAAAACUAUUAUGACGAUAGGUCUUCUUCUCUCUGAUUCUAGCAAAGGAUGCGUCACAACUCAGCAUAGUACUCAGAUCUCUGGAGAAGCUAGUGGGCUGGGUGAAACUCCUAUUCAGUCCCUUGAUUCCGUGAAGAAUCUAGCUAGCCCUUUUUCUUUUAGCAAGCUCAGGAAACCUAAGGCCCCACUGAUUGGAGGUGGAAAUCUAGUUAUCUGCCCGAUGACACUACUGAGUCAGUGGAAGGCAGAGAUUGAAGCUCAUACAAAACCGAAUUCUUUGAAUAUAUAUGUUCAUUAUGGCCAAAGCAGACCAAAGGAAGCAAGCUUUAUUGGUCAGAAUGAUAUUGUCCUGACCACCUAUGGUGUCGUGGCAUCAGAAUUUUCAACCGAGAGUUUUACAGAAAAUGGUGGCCUCUACUCUGUUCACUGGUUUAGAAUUGUGCUUGAUGAGGCGCACAUGAUAAAGUCAUCUAAAAGUUUAAUAUCCCAAGCUGCUGCUGCUCUUACUGCUGAUCGGCGAUGGUGUCUUACUGGUACACCAAUUCAGAACAACUUGGAGGAUCUAUACAGCCUUUUUAGGUUUCUGAAGGUUGAACCAUGGAGAAACUGGGCCCUGUGGAAUAAACUUGUACAAAAACCAUUUGAAGAAGGUGAUGAAAGAGGCUUAAAGCUAGUGCAGACCAUUUUAAAGCCAGUAAUGUUGAGGAGAACUAAAAAUAGCACAGACAAGGAGGGCAGACCAAUCCUUACUCUACCCCCGGCAAAUAUUGAAGUGAAAUAUUGUGAUCUAUCAGAGUCUGAGAAGGACUUCUAUGAAGCUCUGUUUCGACGAUCUAAGGUGAAAUUUGAUCAGUUUGUGGAGCAAGGGAAGGUCCUGCACAAUUAUGCUUCAAUUUUGGAGUUGCUAUUGCGCCUUAGGCAAUGUUGUGACCAUCCAUUUCUUGUUAUGAGUCGUGGAGAUACACAGGAGUUUGCAGACCUCAAUAAGCUUGCAAAGCGUUUCCUGCAUGGUGGUAAUAGUAAUGUUAAUGGGGAUUCUUCUUCCCUUCCCUCUAAGGCUUACAUUGAAGAGGUUGUCCAAGAGCUGCGGAAAGGUGAGGGGGAAUGCCCUAUUUGUCUGGAAGCCUUUGAGGAUGCUGUGUUAACUCCCUGUGCUCAUCGAUUAUGCCGAGAGUGUAUUUUAUCUAGUUGGCAGAGUCCAGCAGCAGGUCUUUGUCCUGUUUGUAGAAAGUCGAUGACCAAGCAAGAUCUUAUUACUGCUCCAACUAACAGUCGCUUCCAAAUUGAUGUUGAGAAGAACUGGGUUGAAUCUUCGAAGAUAUCUUUUCUUCUAGAGGAAUUAGAAUCUCUUCGCAGUUCAGGCGCCAAGAGUAUCGUGUUUAGUCAGUGGACCGCAUUUCUAGAUCUCCUGGAAAUUCCACUUUCCAGGCAUGGCAUCUCAUUUACCAGACUGGAUGGGACCUUAAAUCUUCAGCAGAGAGAGAAAGUGAUCCGUGAGUUUUCUGAGGACAAACGGAUUCUGGUUUUACUUAUGUCUCUGAAGGCUGGUGGUGUUGGAAUAAACCUCACCGCUGCCUCUAACGCGUUUGUCAUGGACCCUUGGUGGAAUCCUGCUGUUGAAGAACAAGCUGUCAUGCGCAUCCAUCGAAUUGGUCAAACGAAGAGUGUUUCUAUCAAAAGAUUCAUUGUCAAGGGUACUGUUGAGGAAAGAAUGGAAGCUGUACAGGCUCGUAAGCAGCGAAUGAUUUCCGGAGCAUUGACGGACCAAGAAUUCCGCACAGCACGUCUAGAAGAACUGAAGAUGCUCUUCUCUUGA